GGAGGGUAUAGCUCAGUGGUAGAGUACCUGCCUGGUAUGCACAAGGUCCUGGGUUCAAUCCCCAGUAUCCCCA
Non-coding RNA from Camelus dromedarius (Arabian camel), 73 nucleotides. The record is from the annotation of a RefSeq genome assembly. NCBI's taxonomy places the organism in Eukaryota, Metazoa, Chordata, Mammalia, Artiodactyla, Camelidae.